UACGUAGGGUGCGAGCGUUGUCCGGAUUUAUUGGGCGUAAAGGGCUCGUAGGCGGUCUGUCACGUCGGCUGUGAAAACCCGGGGCUCAACCCCGGGCCUGCAGUCGAUACGGGCAGGCUAGAGUUCGGCAGGGGAGACUGGAAUUCCUGGUGUAGCGGUGAAAUGCGCAGACAUCAGGAGGAACACCGGUGGCGAAGGCGGGUCUCUGGGCCGAUACUGACGCUGAGGAGCGAAAGCGUGGGGAGCGAACAGG
RNAcentral lists this ribosomal RNA (253 nucleotides) under uncultured bacterium. RNAcentral's name for it is "partial 16S ribosomal RNA". It matches the Rfam family "Bacterial small subunit ribosomal RNA", at positions 524 to 776 of the family's 1533-position model. The record is from RNAcentral.